This 136-nucleotide non-coding RNA is filed under the name Rhinolophus ferrumequinum (greater horseshoe bat). Lineage: Eukaryota; Metazoa; Chordata; Mammalia; Chiroptera; Rhinolophidae. The record is from RNAcentral.
GUUUUGUAUGAAAGGAGAGAAGGUUAGCACUCCCCUUGACAAGGAUGGAAGACGCCCGUGGGCCUAACGAUAUGCAUAUGGUUAAGGCAUGGUUAAGGCAUGCCACCUACUUCUCGGCUUCUAACCAUUGUUUCUG